This 477-nucleotide ribosomal RNA is filed under the name uncultured bacterium. RNAcentral's name for it is "bacterial SSU rRNA". It matches the Rfam family "Bacterial small subunit ribosomal RNA", at positions 28 to 380 of the family's 1533-position model. The record is from RNAcentral.
GAUGAACGCUGGCGGCGUGCCUAACACAUGCAAGUCGAACGAAUCAGAUAUUCAACACUGAGCGUUUAGACGAGGGAAUGAAGUUAGCCAGCAUCAAGGACGAACGAUAGAGAGUCCUUGAUGCGUUCAAAAAGUGUGCUAACACAGUAUAGUCUGAAUGUUGAGUGUUGAAUAUCUGAUUAGUGGCGGACGGGUGAGUAACGCGUGGGGAAUCUGCCUCAAACAGGGGGAUAACACAGGGGAAACUUGUGCUAAUACCGCAUAAAACCACAACAUGGCAUCAUGAAGUGGUACAAAAGGAAGAAAAUUCCGGUUUGAGGAUGAAGCCCGCGUCUGAUUAGUUAGUUGGUGAGGUAACGGCUCACCAAGGCGACGAUCAGUAGCCGAACUGAGAGGUUGAUCGGCCACAUUGGGACUGAGACACGGCCCAGACUCCGUACGGGAGCAGCAGUGGGGAAUAUUGCACAAGUGGGGAAA